CAAAUAAAACAGUUUCGACGAGGUCUUAAAGAAACCUCAAUGUGGACAGUGCUGACCCAACGAGUGACACAGUGGCCUUGCUUCUACCAAAAGAGGGAGGUGGGAAUAUCAGCCCUGAGGUACUUCUUCAGCGAAUCACUUGGCCCUGUGAGGAUGACGAUGAUGAUGACGAUUAUUCAGUUGACACCAGAUGCCGCAUGACAGGCUAUCUUCGACAGUUCAUUGUGAAUGCAACACCAACUGAAUUGACUAAUCUGGUCAAAUUCUGGACCGGGUGGGAGAUUCUACCAACGAGCCCCUCUGUAGAGGUAGUCAUGGCCCCACAGCCUCCACCUGCUUCGAGACCUUACGCAUCCCAGGGCAUUACAAAGAUUAUAAAUCUUUUGAAAGUGACAUUCAGGCCUGUAUUUGCUCUUGCCAAACAGGAUUUGGCCUUGUGUGAGAGACAAGAUUUGAUCUUGUACUAAAUGUUGAUGUAACUUUGUUUGUUGGCUGUUAAAAAUGUUGACUGUUAUGCAACAAAUGUAAUUGAUGUUUAAAGAGUUAGCUG
Centropristis striata (black sea bass) is the source of this 550-nucleotide long non-coding RNA. RefSeq lists it as uncharacterized. The record is from RefSeq and is a predicted model, not a curated record. The transcript is spliced from 3 exons. NCBI's taxonomy places the organism in Eukaryota, Metazoa, Chordata, Actinopteri, Perciformes, Serranidae.